This 401-nucleotide unclassified non-coding RNA is filed under the name uncultured Leifsonia sp. RNAcentral describes it as "partial 16S-23S ribosomal RNA intergenic spacer". The record is from RNAcentral. Lineage: Bacteria; Bacillati; Actinomycetota; Actinomycetes; Micrococcales; Microbacteriaceae.
GCCGGAUCUGAGCGAACGUCUCAGCCGGUUAGCUCAUGGGUGGAACAUUGACAUUGGUGCGGAGCCGAACGGCUCGAACUCAGUACGCCUCCUCGGAGGAAGGAACGGUUCGGAUCACUAGGCGCCGCACAUGCACGCUGUUGGGUCCUGAGGGACCGGGCCUCAUCGAAUGAUGAGAACUGGACCUCUGGACCUUUUCUUGUCGGCAUCACUUGCCGGACGGAGAAGGUACCGCCCGUACUUUGAGAACUACACAGUGGACGCGAGCAUCUUAGAUUCGAACUUUCGGGUUCGGAUCACAAAAGAUGAUCACAGUACUUAUGUACUGAUUAGAUCAUUGGUCAAUCUGCGUCGAACCUGCUCCGGUAGGUACGACGCCGAUCGAUUCAAACUCAUGUGAU